This 427-nucleotide ribosomal RNA is filed under the name Lysobacter brunescens. Its description in RNAcentral is "bacterial SSU rRNA". It matches the Rfam family "Bacterial small subunit ribosomal RNA", at positions 353 to 772 of the family's 1533-position model. The record is from RNAcentral. Lineage: Bacteria; Pseudomonadati; Pseudomonadota; Gammaproteobacteria; Lysobacterales; Lysobacteraceae.
AGUGGGGAAUAUUGGACAAUGGGCGCAAGCCUGAUCCAGCCAUGCCGCGUGGGUGAAGAAGGCCUUCGGGUUGUAAAGCCCUUUUGUCCGGAAAGAAAAGCUCCUGAUUAAUACUCGGGAGUCAUGACGGUACCGGAAGAAUAAGCACCGGCUAACUUCGUGCCAGCAGCCGCGGUAAUACGAAGGGUGCAAGCGUUACUCGGAAUUACUGGGCGUAAAGCGUGCGUAGGUGGUUCGUUAAGUCUGAUGUGAAAGCCCUGGGCUCAACCUGGGAAUUGCAUUGGAUACUGGCGAGCUAGAGUGCGGUAGAGGAUGGCGGAAUUCCCGGUGUAGCAGUGAAAUGCGUAGAGAUCGGGAGGAACAUCUGUGGCGAAGGCGGCCAUCUGGACCAGCACUGACACUGAGGCACGAAAGCGUGGGGAGCAAA